RNAcentral lists this ribosomal RNA (1188 nucleotides) under Staphylococcus aureus. RNAcentral describes it as "partial 23S ribosomal RNA". It matches the Rfam family "Bacterial large subunit ribosomal RNA", at positions 12 to 1197 of the family's 2925-position model. The record is from RNAcentral. Lineage: Bacteria; Bacillati; Bacillota; Bacilli; Caryophanales; Staphylococcaceae.
UAAGGGCGCACGGUGGAUGCCUUGGCACUAGAAGCCGAUGAAGGACGUUACUAACGACGAUAUGCUUUGGGGAGCUGUAAGUAAGCUUUGAUCCAGAGAUUUCCGAAUGGGGAAACCCAGCAUGAGUUAUGUCAUGUUAUCGAUAUGUGAAUACAUAGCAUAUCAGAAGGCACACCCGGAGAACUGAAACAUCUUAGUACCCGGAGGAAGAGAAAGAAAAUUCGAUUCCCUUAGUAGCGGCGAGCGAAACGGGAAGAGCCCAAACCAACAAGCUUGCUUGUUGGGGUUGUAGGACACUCUAUACGGAGUUACAAAGGACGACAUUAGACGAAUCAUCUGGAAAGAUGAAUCAAAGAAGGUAAUAAUCCUGUAGUCGAAAAUGUUGUCUCUCUUGAGUGGAUCCUGAGUACGACGGAGCACGUGAAAUUCCGUCGGAAUCUGGGAGGACCAUCUCCUAAGGCUAAAUACUCUCUAGUGACCGAUAGUGAACCAGUACCGUGAGGGAAAGGUGAAAAGCACCCCGGAAGGGGAGUGAAAUAGAACCUGAAACCGUGUGCUUACAAGUAGUCAGAGCCCGUUAAUGGGUGAUGGCGUGCCUUUUGUAGAAUGAACCGGCGAGUUACGAUUUGAUGCAAGGUUAAGCAGUAAAUGUGGAGCCGUAGCGAAAGCGAGUCUGAAUAGGGCGUUUAGUAUUUGGUCGUAGACCCGAAACCAGGUGAUCUACCCUUGGUCAGGUUGAAGUUCAGGUAACACUGAAUGGAGGACCGAACCGACUUACGUUGAAAAGUGAGCGGAUGAACUGAGGGUAGCGGAGAAAUUCCAAUCGAACCUGGAGAUAGCUGGUUCUCUCCGAAAUAGCUUUAGGGCUAGCCUCAAGUGAUGAUUAUUGGAGGUAGAGCACUGUUUGGACGAGGGGCCCCUCUCGGGUUACCGAAUUCAGACAAACUCCGAAUGCCAAUUAAUUUAACUUGGGAGUCAGAACAUGGGUGAUAAGGUCCGUGUUCGAAAGGGAAACAGCCCAGACCACCAGCUAAGGUCCCAAAAUAUAUGUUAAGUGGAAAAGGAUGUGGCGUUGCCCAGACAACUAGGAUGUUGGCUUAGAAGCAGCCAUCAUUUAAAGAGUGCGUAAUAGCUCACUAGUCGAGUGACACUGCGCCGAAAAUGUACCGGGGCUAAACAUAUUACCGA